CCUGCAAUCUCAAUUUAUGUCGUUGAGAAGCUCAACUAAGCCUUACUCUCGACGAUCCUCUCUCUCUCCAAUCAAGGCCUCUGUGUCUGAAAAACCAUCUAUAGGUAUCUCGUCGCCAACUGUUUCACCAACUGAUUCUUCCAAACUUCCGCUUCUCAAAAUCCCCGGCGAUUAUGGCCUCCCUUUUAUCGGUCCCAUCAAUGAUCGACUUGAUUAUUUCUAUAAACAAGGCAAAGAAGAGUACUU
Molecule: unclassified non-coding RNA, 246 nt
Filed under: Hevea brasiliensis (rubber tree)
Lineage: Eukaryota; Viridiplantae; Streptophyta; Magnoliopsida; Malpighiales; Euphorbiaceae
Source: RNAcentral